This 890-nucleotide unclassified non-coding RNA is filed under the name Hevea brasiliensis (rubber tree). Lineage: Eukaryota; Viridiplantae; Streptophyta; Magnoliopsida; Malpighiales; Euphorbiaceae. The record is from RNAcentral.
CCAUCAUGUUACCUCAAAUGUGACUGUUAAGGAGUCUUCUAAUGAUGUAACUAGGGACAAAAAUAGUGACAGAAGGCAUAGAGAUGCAUCUCCGGAGAAACGCAGUGACCGUGAAACCUACAGAGCAUCUGAUGUUCCUUGCAAAUUUUUUGCUGCGGGUAAUUGUCGGAAUGGAAAAUAUUGCAGGUUUUCACAUCAGGAUUUGGCCCAUGUAAGUCCUGAUAGGUCACGGGAUGGUAGGCGUUCACUUGACCAAAACACUGAUGAUGUGGCGAAAUUGUGGAAUGGUCCAAAAUGGGGCGCUACAAGUGCUUUAGAUGCUGGAAAGUUGAGUGGGGAUAAAAAUGUGACAAUUGGUACCCCUGAUCAAAGGGGCACUGCACGUGCUGUUGGUGACAAAUGGGGUCAUUGUUUGGAGGAAGAUAAGACACUUGGCAAUGCACCAAUUGAUCAUAAAAUGGUCAAGAGUGAAACAGAUCUUACAUGGAAUACAGAAAAUGCUAGUGACAACAUGGUUGCUUCUGAACAAAGGCCAGGUGGUGAGAAUUGGCUUGGAGAUAUGGACAUGUCUCCUGAGUGGAAUUAUAAAUUUCGACAUUCUAACCAUUUUGAUAAGCUUGCUUCUUUAACCAGUUGCAAUCCCAGUAUAACUCGAGAAGUUUCAGAUCAUGCACAUGAUGUCACUGCAGUUGUGCCAUCAUUGACAAAUGAAUCAUCUGCCAAACCUCAGGACUACAAGUUAAAGGAUGUUGGUGCAAAUGCUGUGCCUCACGAUGAUAACAGUGUGACUGGAAAAACUGCCAGUUCUCAUAGUAGUAUUUCUGCCAAUAUUAUAUCUGCGCAAAGCUUAGAUCAGAAUGGCAUGAAUUCAAAUGCUUUACAUCUUUCAG